Molecule: ribosomal RNA, 301 nt
Filed under: uncultured bacterium
Lineage: Bacteria
Description: partial 16S ribosomal RNA
Rfam family: Bacterial small subunit ribosomal RNA
Source: RNAcentral
CAGUAGCCGCGGUAAUACGUAUGUCACGAGCGUUAUCCGGAUUUAUUGGGCGUAAAGCGCGUCUAGGUGGUUAUAUAAGUCUGAUGUGAAAAUGCAGGGCUCAACUCUGUAUUGCGUUGGAAACUGUAUAACUAGAGUACUGGAGAGGUAAGCGGAACUACAAGUGUAGAGGUGAAAUUCGUAGAUAUUUGUAGGAAUGCCGAUGGGGAAGCCAGCUUACUGGACAGAUACUGACGCUGAAGCGCGAAAGCGUGGGUAGCAAACAGGAUUAGAUACCCCAGUAGUCCCUGUCUCUUAUACA